Molecule: long non-coding RNA, 2434 nt
Organism: Phalaenopsis equestris
Lineage: Eukaryota; Viridiplantae; Streptophyta; Magnoliopsida; Asparagales; Orchidaceae
Exons: 2
Source: RefSeq, a predicted model, not a curated record
CGGGUACAGAUCUGCGCACAGAUCGAAAUUGACAAGAGAGGAGAUCAACAUGGCAACAGCCAACCUGAAACUUGAGCACAAGUCAAAUUCACAAGUGACGCUCAACACAUCCCGUGCAAGGCAUGCCAACUCCUCUUGAGCUCAACGCAGGAAAUAGCAAGCAGUGGCAUCAUGAUCUAAAUUUGGCCGUUCUCUAUUGCGUUCAGUGUCUGUCGAAUCUGUAAUAAACUCAGCCAUGCUGCUACCAAUGGUUGACAUCGCUCCAAUUUAAAAUACUUUCCGACCAAUCAAGCACUCCAAGCUGAUGCUUCAUCCUAGCCGAUGGACUAGGGCUUAGAACACCUUACAAAUGACCUCAAUCAAAUGCAAAUUGCUGCUCCUGCAGAUGGGUCAGAGAAAGUUCUGGUAGGCAACGGGCAAUCGGUAAUUGUAGUGCUUAUAGGUGAUGGUAUACUUCCUACUACUUGCACACUUCGACUUCCCACUUUCUGGAAUGUUCCAUCCCUCUCUCACAACCUCCUCUCAGUUCAUAAGCUUACCAAAGAUAACAAUGCUACUAUUUUAUUUGACGAAACUGGUUUUCUUAUCUUUGACUCACGGAUACAUCAAACUCUGCUUUGGGGUUGCCUCUCUAAUGGGUUAUACUCCAACCCUACCUCCCACUCCAAAAACAAAAUCUCUGCAGCUCAUCAAGCCUUGGUGGCUUCCUUACAACUCUCUACUCUUUGGCAUAAAUAGUUUGGACGCCCUCAUCAAGCUAUUCUUUAACUCAUAUAGAAGACACACUCGUCCUUCGGAAUACCACCAAGUCUACCUCGAUGUGAUAGUUGUAACUGUAAUAAGAGUCGCAAACAACUUUUUCCUUUCAAUUUCUCUCAGCAUGUAUUCCCCUCUACAAUUAAUCCAUUCCGAUGUAUGAGGUCGGUCCCACUAACAUUUAAUCAAAGUUUUAGAUACUAUUGUAAUUUUUGUUGAUGAAUAUUCCAAAUUUUGUUGGCUAUUCCCCGUGACGUAAACAUUUGAAACAACAAAAAAAAAUUUAUCAAAUUGAUUCAAAUGAUCAACAACUAGUUUAACACCAAAAUAAAAAUAUUCAGAUCGGCAGAGAAUACAAUUAUCUAAACUUUAAAAACUUCCUGAUGCAACAUGGCGUACUCCAUCAAUUCUUCUGACUAUAUAAGUCGGAACAAAAUGAGAUUGUCGAGCGCAAUUGCCACCUUAUCAAAACCACCCGCACGCUUCUAUCCGAGCCUCUCUUUCUCUAAAAUUCUUGCUAGAAGCAUUACUCACAGUGGAACCUCAUUAACCACAUGCCUCUAAAAAUAUUUAGUCUAAUACUCCAUAUAAGCUCCUCUACAAUAAGUCACCCACAUAUUCACAUCUGAAAGUUUUGGGAUGUUCUUGCUACCCAUGGUUGAAAUAUUUGACACCACACAGGCUAGCUCCCCAAUCAACCCAAUGCAUCUUCCUAUGCUACUCCUCUGCUCACAAAGGGUACAAAUGUUAUGACCCUUAAUCAGCCAAACUCAUAAUUUUUCGACUUGUGGUCUUUAAUGAAACAAAAUUCCCAUUCCUAUCUAGCUUCUUUACUAUUCCACCACAUGUACCACCAAUUACCAACCCAUCCCUUCUUUACCAACUUCAACCGUGAUACCAAGUUCCACAACAUAUGGACAGCCCAAUCUCCAAUCCACUUUUGGCCACAUCACAACCAACACACCUCUCCUCCUAAUCUUCACCUAUUCAUACCUUACAGCCUUUGCUGUCUAAGAUAGCACAUCACCAGUGGAACAGCUACUGGUUGUUACUCACCCAAUGCUAACUAGAGCUAAAACAGGUAAUUUGAAGCCCACCCAAUGACUUAAUCUCCUCCAACAGUUGCAGCUCCCACUUGAUCCCAUGUUCUACAACCAAGCAACAAAAUCUGUGCAUUGGCGCAAAGCUACGACUAAGGAAUUUCAUGUUCUUCAAGUUCAAGAAAUCUAGACUCUAGUUCCAACACCUACUAAUCAACCUGCCUUGUGUUGUCGAAAAAUGUACAACACAAAACUUCAUUCAGAUGGGACAAUAACAAUAAUAAGCAAGACUAGUGGCUCAAUGAUACAAUCAAGAGUAUGCAAUGAACUAUCAUGAGACUUUCAGCCUUGUUGCAAAGAUGGCAACUUAGAGAACAUUCCUAAUGGUGGCAUUCAAUCGACAAUGGCCACUUAUUCAAUUUGAAGUCUCCAAUGCAUUCUUGCAUGGUACGUUACUGGAGACAAUGUAUAUGUAAAAACUGAUUGGGCUUACGAAUACCCUAAUCCCUCACCAUGUAUGUGUUCUCAAGAAGGCCCUAUACGUUCUCAAGCAAUCCCCUCGACAGUGUUUGCUACCAUAUCAUAUUUUUUUCAUUCAGUUGGGAUUUACUAUUAGCAAGAACGAUCCGUCCCUUCUG